UUCGAUUAAGCCAUGCGAGUCGCGAGUCUUAGGGACUCGGCGUACCGCUCAGUAACACGUGGGUAACCUGCCCUAUGCUGGGGAAUAACCUCGGGAAACUGAGAAUAAUGCCCCAUAGUUCACCACGCCUGGAACGGUGGGUGGAUCAAAGCUCCGGCGGCAUAGGAUGGGCCUGCGGCGUAUCAGGUCGUAGGGGGUGUAAUGUACCCUCUAGCCAUCGACGCGUACGGGUGUUGGGAGACAUUGCCCGGAGAUGGAUUCUGAGACACGAAUCCAGACCCUACGGGGUGCAGCAGGCGCGAAAACUUGGCAAUGCGAGAAGUCGUGACCAGGGAACUCCAAGUGCAUCGGGUAAGACCGAUGCUUUUCUUGACUCUUCAACGGUCUUGGAAUAAGGGGUGGGUAAGGACGGUGCCAGCCGCCGCGGUAAUACCGGCGCCUCAAGUGGUAGUCGCUUUUAUUGGGCCUAAAACGUCCGUAGCCGGUUUGGUACAUUCGUGGGUAAAUCAAGGCGCUCAACGUCUUGAAUUCUGCGAGCACGGCCAGACUUGGGACCGGGUGAGGUGUGGGGUACUCUCAGGGUAGGGGUAAAAUCCUGUCAUCCUGAGAGGACCACCUGUUGCGAAGGCGCCACACUAGAACGGAUCCGACGGUCAGGGACGAAGCCUAGGGGCACGAACCGGAUUAGAUACCCGGGUAGUCCUAGGUGUAAACGCUGUGGACUUGAUGUUGGGAAUGCUCCGAGCACCCUCAGUGUCGAAGCGAAGGUGAUAAGUCCACUGCCUGGGGAGUACGGUCGCAAGGCUGAAACUUAAAGGAAUUGGCGGGGGAGCACUGCAACCUGAGGAUUGUGCG
Molecule: ribosomal RNA, 855 nt
Filed under: uncultured archaeon
Lineage: Archaea
Description: bacterial SSU rRNA
Rfam family: Archaeal small subunit ribosomal RNA
Source: RNAcentral